GUGCCAGCCGCCGCGGUAAUACGUAGGGGGCAAGCGUUGUCCGGAUUUACUGGGCGUAAAGAGCGUGUAGGCGGCCGCGCAGGUCCGUUGUGAAAACUGGAGGCUUAACCUCCAGACGUCGACGGAAACCGUGUGGCUAGAGUCCGGAAGAGGAGACUGGAAUUUACGGUGUAGCGGUGAAAUGCGUAGAUAUCGAGAGGAACACCAGUGGCGAAGGCGACCACCUGGACUGAUACUGACACUGAGGUGCGAAAGCGUGGGGAGCAAACAGGAUUAGAUACCCCGGUAGUCC
This 292-nucleotide ribosomal RNA is filed under the name uncultured bacterium. RNAcentral's name for it is "partial 16S ribosomal RNA". It matches the Rfam family "Bacterial small subunit ribosomal RNA", at positions 505 to 796 of the family's 1533-position model. The record is from RNAcentral.